Molecule: long non-coding RNA, 463 nt
Organism: Galeopterus variegatus (Sunda flying lemur)
Lineage: Eukaryota; Metazoa; Chordata; Mammalia; Dermoptera; Cynocephalidae
Exons: 2
Source: RefSeq, a predicted model, not a curated record
CCUUUCAGCCAUUUUUUUAUUUACAGUUUGUGUUUAAUGCAAAUCAAUUCCAUAACAUGAGAGGUCACUAUGAAUCAAAGCAUAAAUACACAAACACAAUAUACAAUUCAAAAUAGAUGUACAGCAUUCAGGUAUGAAGCAAAAGGGGUGUUCAUUCACACACACGGUAGCUUCCAAUCUGUUUGAUUUGGUUGUUUCUGCUUAGAUUUCUAAGGACGGGGAAAAAGUGGCUUUAGUUAUCAAGACUGCUGUGGCCAUAUUAGAUACUGAAACAUCUAAGCAUCAGUGUGUGACCAUGCGAACAAAUGAAUUCUUAGAAAGGUUUCUGUGUAUCAAGGCAGUUGUAAAAGAUUUACUGCAGAAUCAAGCCCACUUUGGGGCAUAGGACCAGGCUCUAACUAUCUAAAAAUAUUGACUGAAAACAAGAAGUGUUCCAAAUGUGUCUAUUCUGAUCCAUAGCUUU